GGCUGCAGUCGAGAAUCAUUGUCAAUGCACGAAAGUGUGAACAUGCGACGCCGCGUGGAGGAAGACGGCCUUCGGGUUGUAAACUCCUGUCAGCAGGAAGGAAUAAUCAGACGAUUAAUACUUGUUUGAUUUGACAGUACCUGCAGAGGAAGUCACGGCUAACUCUGUGCCAGCAGCCGCGGUAAUACAGAGGUGGCAAACGUUGUUCGGAUUUACUGGGCGUAAAGGGUCCGCAGGCGGUCUUGUGUGUCGGAUGUGAAAGCUCACGGCUCAACCGUGGAAUUGCAUUCGAAACUGCAAGACUAGAGUACUGGAGGGGAGAAGGGAACACUUGGUGUAGCGGUGAAAUGCGUAGAUAUCAAGUGGAACACCGGAGGCGAAGGCGCUUCUCUGGACAGAUACUGACGCUCAUGGACGAAAGUUAGGGUAGCGAAAGGGAUUAGAUACCCCUGUAGUCCUAACCGUAAACGGUGUGCGCUAGGCGUGGGUGGCUUUACCCCCAUCCGUGCCUGAGCUAACGCAUUAAGCGCACCGCCUGGGGAGUACGGUCGCAAGAUUAAAACUCAAAGGAAUUGACGGGGACCCGCACAAGCGGUGGAGCAUGCGGCUUAAUUCGAUGCAACGCGAAGAACCUUACCUGGGCUUGACAUAUAGCUGCAUACGACCCGAAAGGGACGUAGCCUUCGAGGGUGCUAUACAGGUGCUGCAUGGCUGUCGUCAGCUCGUGCCGUGAGGUGUUGGGUUAAGUCCCGCAACGAGCGCAACCCCUGUGAUUAGUUGCCAGCACGUAAUGGUGGGAACUCUAAUCAGACUGCUUGUGAAAACAAGAGGAAGGUGGGGAUGACGUCAAGUCAGUAUGGUCCUUAUGUCCAGGGCUGCACGCGUGCUACAAUGGGCAGUACAGUGGGAAGCAAUAUCGCGAGAUGGAGCAAAUCCUCAAAGCUGCCCCCAGUUCGGAUUGGAGUCUGAAACUCGACUCCAUGAAGUCGGAAUCGCUAGUAAAGGCGUAUCAGCUACGACGCCUUGAAUACGUUCCCGGGUCUUGUACACACCGCCCGUCACAUCAUGGAAGUCUGUUGCACCCGAAAUCGUUGAUCCAACCCGUCAAGGGAGGAAGGCGCCUAAGGUGUGAUAGGUAACUGGGAUG
RNAcentral lists this ribosomal RNA (1147 nucleotides) under marine metagenome. RNAcentral's name for it is "bacterial SSU rRNA". It matches the Rfam family "Bacterial small subunit ribosomal RNA", at positions 347 to 1482 of the family's 1533-position model. The record is from RNAcentral.